UCACCUUCUUAUCCAAAGGCUUUGUCUUAUGGUGAGGAAGCUGGUGAGGCAAGCUGCACUGAACACUCAGGUGUUGUGAAAAUGUCUUCUGGGCAUGUAACAUCACAGUGAGUCACAGAACACAGAGACCAGAGGAUCAAGGAGACUAGACAGGCGUGCUUUGGACGCAUAAAGACCUACCUCAUCUUGCUGCCAACUCAAGACUGCCUUGUAUGGAUGAUCCCUCUGAAAAAAAG
This 236-nucleotide long non-coding RNA is filed under the name Homo sapiens (human). RNAcentral's name for it is "HSALNT0251185". The record is from RNAcentral. Lineage: Eukaryota; Metazoa; Chordata; Mammalia; Primates; Hominidae.